CAGGAUGUAGCUCAGUUGGUAGAGUGCCCGCCUCGGACGCGGGAGGCCGUGGGAUCGUGACCCACCAUCCUGA
This 73-nucleotide transfer RNA is filed under the name Phaeobacter phage MD18. It matches the Rfam family "tRNA". Rfam says of the family: Transfer RNA (tRNA) molecules are approximately 80 nucleotides in length. Lineage: Duplodnaviria; Heunggongvirae; Uroviricota; Caudoviricetes. The record is from Rfam by way of RNAcentral.